CCUACGGGGGGCUGCAGUGGGGAAUAUUGGGCAAUGGAGGCAACUCUGACCCAGCAACGCCGCGUGAAUGAUGAAGGUCUUCGGAUUGUAAAGCUCUGUGAUUGGGGAUGAACACAAUGACGGUACCCCAAUAGCAAGCCACGGCUAACUACGUGCCAGCAGCCGCGGUAAUACGUAGGUGGCAAGCGUUAUCCGGAAUGACUGGGCGUAAAGGGUGCGUAGGUGGUUUAGUAAGUUGGCGGUGUAAUUCCGGGGCUUAACCUCGGCGCUACCGCCAAAACUAUUAGACUAGAGUGCAGGGGGGGUAAGUGGAAUUCCUAGUGUAGCGGUGGAAUGCGUAGAUAUUAGGAGGAACAUCAGGGGCGAAGGCGACUUACUGGACUGUAACUGACACUGAGGCACGAAAGCGUGGGGAGCAAACAGGAUUAGAUACCCGAGUAGUC
Molecule: ribosomal RNA, 443 nt
Filed under: uncultured bacterium
Lineage: Bacteria
Description: partial 16S ribosomal RNA
Rfam family: Bacterial small subunit ribosomal RNA
Source: RNAcentral